This 503-nucleotide ribosomal RNA is filed under the name uncultured bacterium. RNAcentral's name for it is "partial 16S ribosomal RNA". It matches the Rfam family "Bacterial small subunit ribosomal RNA", at positions 30 to 523 of the family's 1533-position model. The record is from RNAcentral.
AUUGAACGCUGGCGGCAGGCUUAACACAUGCAAGUCGAGCGGGGUGAUGGUGCUUGCACUAUCACUUAGCGGCGGACGGGUGAGUAAUGCUUAGGAAUCUGCCUAUUAGUGGGGGACAACAUCUCGAAAGGGAUGCUAAUACCGCAUACGUCCUACGGGAGAAAGCAGGGGAUCACUUGUGACCUUGCGCUAAUAGAUGAGCCUAAGUCGGAUUAGCUAGUUGGUGGGGUAAAGGCCUACCAAGGCGACGAUCUGUAGCGGGUCUGAGAGGAUGAUCCGCCACACGGGGACUGAGACACGGCCCAGACUCCUAAGGGAGGCAGCAGUGGGGAAUAUUGGACAAUGGGGGGAACCCUGAUCCAGCCAUGCCGCGUGUGUGAAGAAGGCCUUAUGGUUGUAAAGCACUUUAAGCGAGGAGGAGGCUCUUUUGGUUAAUACCCAAGAUGAGUGGACGUUACUCGCAGAAUAAGCACCGGCUAACUCUGUGCCAGCCGCCGCGGUAA